Molecule: ribosomal RNA, 380 nt
Filed under: uncultured bacterium
Lineage: Bacteria
Description: bacterial SSU rRNA
Rfam family: Bacterial small subunit ribosomal RNA
Source: RNAcentral
GACGAACGCUGGCGGCGUGCUUAACACAUGCAAGUCGAGCGGUAAGGCCCUUUCGGGGGUACGACGAGCGGCGAACGGGUGAGUAACACGUGGGUGACCUGCCCUCAGCUCUGGGAUAAGCCCGGGAAACUGGGUCUAAUACCGGAUAUGACUCCAUGACGCAUGUUGUGGGGUGGAAAGCCUUGUGCGGCUGAGGAUGGGCCCGCGGCCUAUCAGCUUGUUGGUGGGGUGAUGGCCUACCGAGGCGACGACGGGUAGCCGGCCUGAGAGGGCGACCGGCCACACUGGGACUGAGACACGGCCCAGACUCCUACGGGAGGCAGCAGUGGGGAAUCUUGCGCAAUGGGCGAAAGCCUGACGCAGCGACGCCGCGUGAGGGA